GGCGAGGGGACGCCUACCAUGCAGUCGAGCGGCAGCGGAAGUACUUGCUACUUUGCCGGCGAGCGGCGGACGGGUGAGUAAUGUCUGGGAAACUGCCUGAUGGAGGGGGAUAACUACUGGAAACGGUAGCUAAUACCGCAUAACGUCGCAAGACCAAAGAGGGGGACCUUCGGGCCUCUUGCCAUCAGAUGUGCCCAGAUGGGAUUAGCUAGUAGGUGGGGUAACGGCUCACCUAGGCGACGAUCCCUAGCUGGUCUGAGAGGAUGACCAGCCACACUGGAACUGAGACACGGUCCAGACUCCUACGGGAGGCAGCAGUGGGGAAUAUUGCACAAUGGGCGCAAGCCUGAUGCAGCCAUGCCGCGUGUAUGAAGAAGGCCUUCGGGUUGUAAAGUACUUUCAGCGGGGAGGAAGGUGUUGAGGUUAAUAACCUCAGCUAUUGACGUUACCCGCAGAAGAAGCACCGGCUAACUCCGUGCCAGCAGCCGCGGUAAUACGGAGGGUGCAAGCGUUAAUCGGAAUUACUGGGCGUAAAGCGCACGCAGGCGGUCUGUCAAGUCAGAUGUGAAAUCCCCGGGCUCAACCUGGGAACUGCAUUCGAAACUGGCAGGCUAGAGUCUUGUAGAGGGGGGUAGAUUUCCGGGUGUAGCGGUGAAAUGCGUAGAGAUCUGGAGGAAUACCGGUGGCAAAGGCGGCCCCCUGGACAAAGACUGACUCUCAGGUGCGAAAGCGUGGGGAGCAAACGGGAUUAUAUACCCGUGGUAGUCCCCGCCGUAAACGAUGUCCAACUUGGAGGUUGCGCCCGUAGAUGCGUGGCUUCCCAGAGCAAACGCGUUAAGCCCACCGCCAGGGGAGUCCGCCGCGCAAGGUUAAACUCAUAUUGUAUUGACGGGGGCCCCCCACCCGCGGGUGGACCUUGUGGUUUAUUUCUCUGCAACGCGAGAGACC
This 948-nucleotide ribosomal RNA is filed under the name Enterobacter sp. RNAcentral describes it as "bacterial SSU rRNA". It matches the Rfam family "Bacterial small subunit ribosomal RNA", at positions 38 to 970 of the family's 1533-position model. The record is from RNAcentral. Lineage: Bacteria; Pseudomonadati; Pseudomonadota; Gammaproteobacteria; Enterobacterales; Enterobacteriaceae.